This is a small nuclear RNA of Sphaerodactylus townsendi, 105 nucleotides long. The record is from RefSeq and is a predicted model, not a curated record. NCBI's taxonomy places the organism in Eukaryota, Metazoa, Chordata, Lepidosauria, Squamata, Sphaerodactylidae.
GUGCUUGCUUCAGCAGCACAUUUACUAAAAUUGGAACGAUACAGAGAAGAUUAGCAUGGCCCCUGUGCAAGUGUAAUGGAAGACAGAAGGGUGGAUAAACAAUAU